UUGGAUCUGUUAGGAAAGGACAGAGACUCCUUUUUGCAUCACUCUAUUUGAACGUAAUGUAUAUGUCACAAGUGACACUCUUACUAAACUAGACCCUGCCAUUCUCUUUAUAUUACGUAUCAGCAUGUCUUAUUUGAUAUCAUUCCUAUUUAUGAGUGCCAUUUAAUCUUGUGUGCUGUGUAUUUACAACGAUUGCCUUUCACUUAAUUCCUUACAUUUUCACGUGUGAAUCAAAUUGAUUCGCAUGGACGAUUUUGCUUGCUUGUAUGGUGUGCUGUGAUUCCAAAAAUGAACACAGACUAAACUGACAUGCUGUGAUUCCAAAAAUGAACACAGACUAAACUGACAUUGAGAUGAUUCUCUAUCACCUUCUCCCUCCCUAAACAAAUUGCUAAACACGCCCCAGAACUAGAGUUAAAAAGGAACUGAACCAGGGACAUCUCGACCGACUUGCUUCUCGUUUCCGCUGGUCGCCUGCUGUGGGAAGGACACAAAUCACAAAGCUCUUUAUAAACACUACUAAAGGAAAGUGCUUGUUUCGAACGUGUGUGUGACCCCAAUUGUUGGCCAGUACAUGCUCUAAUUGUAUGUUUUCUGUCCCCCACAACUACAGACACGGGGGACACGCUUGACGCCGCUGAGAGGCUACACCCAACUCUAAUACACAGCCAGGCCGGUGCAGAGUGAGGGACAGAAGGCGACCUACCGCUGAACACCAAACCAGCAAUUGACUACCAGACCAGCCAUCAACUAACGAUCCCUGCUCAGGAGGAAGAGCCGAACCCUGUUCGGGGAGAGCCGAUCUAAUCCUGCUCGGGGAAAACCGAACGAACAAACCCUGCUCGGAAGGACCAGAAUGAACAUUGGCCACCAAUCGGGAGUCAACCGCUGUAUGAACUUUGACCUGCCCACGAGAGCAGCUCAGUCCCCGUGAGUGACCUCGUACAGGGUGAGGGUUUAGGUAACACUGAGACACAGAACCAGAUGGAGGAGUCUGACAGCUCAGCUGAACUGAGUCUCUCUCUGAUGACUGUAGAACUGACUGUCAGCCUGGGAGGAGGACAUAUGCUCAUUUUGGAACGUUGCUAAAUGGGCACAGCCAAACAACGGAAGUGAUGGAUUUCUUUCUGACCAGAACUGUCCCAGAGCUUGGGGAGGUGUGUCUGCGCUUGUGCUGCAGCGGCAGGUGCACAAGACAAAACUUUACCAGCAUCACACAUAUCGGUGAAUCACUGUGACAUAUGAAAUACAAGUGAUAGUGUAAUCAAUCUGUAAUAACUAUGUAAAAAAGUAACGAAUGUGUUAAAUGAUGUGACGUACAGUCAUAUCCAGGUCCUGAUUGGUCAACAAGCUGAUUUGACCUUUCAAAUAUUGUUAUUUGAUGCAUCAAACAGUGUUAUUUCACAUGUAUCUUUUUUGAAAUGCAAAGACCAAAAUUACGUUCCAUACUUUCCAGUGAACGACACACUGAUGCACGUACAGAUGCGCGUGCCUCUUGGCUUCAGUAAGAAAGCCACUCCAUCUGCGCCCAUUCAACAUAGCCUAGAUUUACGUUUUUAUUAGUUCUAAACAAAAUAACUUUUGGGGGGCUCUCCUAACGCUUGUGUUGAUUCUUGCUUGAACAGUCACUAAAAUUAUAUUCUGUUGUGAUAUUUGUAAAAUAACUAUUUUGGAUGCAGCAAGUUGUUAGCUAGAAUGCUAAACACUCACUGACAUAGCCAUAGCAAAAGAUAGCCAAAGAGACAUUUUACUGGUUGAAGUAUGUUAUUUUUAAGUAUAAUGCAGUUGAAUCACGAUGAUGACACAAACAUUAUAUUAAGCAGGUCAUUCAUACGAGCCUUAAACUCCAAUUUUAAUCCAAAAGUAGUGUGAGAUGCACUCUUAUGCAAC
This is a long non-coding RNA of Oncorhynchus nerka (sockeye salmon), 1890 nucleotides long. RefSeq lists it as uncharacterized. The transcript is spliced from 3 exons. Lineage: Eukaryota; Metazoa; Chordata; Actinopteri; Salmoniformes; Salmonidae. The record is from RefSeq and is a predicted model, not a curated record.